ACUCAAAUGAAUUGACGGGGACCCGCACAAGCGGUGGAUGAUGUGGUUUAAUUCGAUGCAACGCGAAAAACCUUACCUACCCUUGACAUGCCAGGAAUUCCAUAGAGAUAUGGAAGUGCUCGAAAGAGAGCCUGGGCACAGGUGCUGCAUGGCCGUCGUCAGCUCGUGUCGUGAGAUGUUGGGUUAAGUCCCGCAACGAGCGCAACCCUUGUCAUUAGUUGCUACGAAAGGGCACUCUAAUGAGACUGCCGGUGACAAACCGGAGGAAGGUGGGGAUGACGUCAGGUCCUCAUGGCCCUUAUGGGUAGGGCUACACACGUCAUACAAUGGCCGGUACAGAGGGCUGCCAACCCGCGAGGGGGAGCUAAUCCCAGAAAACCGGUCGUAGUCCGGAUUGCAGUCUGCAACUCGACUGCAUGAAGUCGGAAUCGCUAGUAAUCGCGGAUCAGCUUGCCGCGGUGAAUACGUUCCCGGGUCUUGUACACACCGCCCGU
This 494-nucleotide ribosomal RNA is filed under the name uncultured bacterium. RNAcentral's name for it is "partial 16S ribosomal RNA". It matches the Rfam family "Bacterial small subunit ribosomal RNA", at positions 899 to 1397 of the family's 1533-position model. The record is from RNAcentral.